UGAGUGUCCAUAGUAGUCUGAAAUGCA
RNAcentral lists this non-coding RNA (27 nucleotides) under Mus musculus (house mouse). Lineage: Eukaryota; Metazoa; Chordata; Mammalia; Rodentia; Muridae. The record is from RNAcentral.